CUGGCUUAUCUGUUUGUUACCUUCUCUUGUCCUGUACCUCAGCUUGUUCUUGACUUCGCGCCGACAUGAUCCACAUGUUACUAUUCCUCUUUGUCAGCAAUAAAUGGACGUUUAGUCCCCUUGAGGCACCAUAACAACUUCAUUUAAAUUAAGUUGUUAUGGUGCCAAGCGACACCUAGAGGCAUUCUUGCCUUCAGGGAUUAAACCAUUUUUUAAGUGUU
Pelobates cultripes (western spadefoot toad) is the source of this 221-nucleotide non-coding RNA. Lineage: Eukaryota; Metazoa; Chordata; Amphibia; Anura; Pelobatidae. The record is from the annotation of a GenBank genome assembly.